AUACGUAGGGUGCAAGCGUUAAUCGGAAUUACUGGGCGUAAAGCGUGCGCAGGCGGUUUUGUAAGACAGAGGUGAAAUCCCCGGGCUCAACCUGGGAACUGCCAUUGUGACUGCAAGGCUGGAGUGCGGCAGAGGGGGAUGGAAUUCCGCGUGUAGCAGUGAAAUGCGGAGAUAUGCGGAGGAACCCCGAUGGCGAAGGCAAUCCACUGGGCCUGCACUGACGCUCAUGCACGAAAGCGUGGGGAGCAAACAGGAUUAGAUUCCCUGGUAGUCCACGCCCUAAACGAUGUCAACUGGUUGUUGGGAAUUUAUUUUCUCAGUUACGAAGCUAACGUGUGAAGUUGCCCGCCUGGGGAGUACGGCCGCAAGGUUAAAACUCAAAGGAAUUGACGGGG
This 395-nucleotide ribosomal RNA is filed under the name uncultured bacterium. Its description in RNAcentral is "partial 16S ribosomal RNA". It matches the Rfam family "Bacterial small subunit ribosomal RNA", at positions 523 to 918 of the family's 1533-position model. The record is from RNAcentral.